RNAcentral lists this ribosomal RNA (468 nucleotides) under uncultured bacterium. Its description in RNAcentral is "partial 16S ribosomal RNA". It matches the Rfam family "Bacterial small subunit ribosomal RNA", at positions 28 to 507 of the family's 1533-position model. The record is from RNAcentral.
GACGAACGCUGGCGGCGUGCUUAACACAUGCAAGUCGAACGGAAAGGCCCUGCUUUUGUGGGGUGCUCGAGUGGCGAACGGGUGAGUAACACGUGAGUAACCUGCCCUUGACUUUGGGAUAACUUCAGGAAACUGGGGCUAAUACCGGAUAGGAGCUCCUGCUGCAUGGUGGGGGUUGGAAAGUUUCGGCGGUUGGGGAUGGACUCGCGGCUUAUCAGCUUGUUGGUGGGGUAGUGGCUUACCAAGGCUUUGACGGGUAGCCGGCCUGAGAGGGUGACCGGCCAUAUUGGGACUGAGAUACGGCCCAGACUCCUAUGGGAGGCAGCAGUGGGGAAUAUUGCACAAUGGGCGGAAGCCUGAUGCAGCAACGCCGCGUGCGGGAUGACGGCCUUCGGGUUGUAAACCGCUUUCGCCUGUGACGAAGCGUGAGUGACGGUAAUGGGUAAAGAAGCACCGGCUAACUACGUG